RNAcentral lists this ribosomal RNA (465 nucleotides) under uncultured bacterium. Its description in RNAcentral is "partial 16S ribosomal RNA". It matches the Rfam family "Bacterial small subunit ribosomal RNA", at positions 28 to 504 of the family's 1533-position model. The record is from RNAcentral.
GACGAACGCUGGCGGCGUGCUUAACACAUGCAGGUCGAACGGAAAGGCCCUGCUUUUGUGGGGUGCUCGAGUGGCGAACGGGUGAGUAACACGUGAGUAACCUGCCCUUGACUUUGGGAUAACUUCAGGAAACUGGGGCUAAUACCGGAUAGGAGCUCCUGCUGCAUGGUGGGGGUUGGAAAGUUUCGGCGGUUGGGGAUGGACUCGCGGCUUAUCAGCUUGUUGGUGGGGUAGUGGCUUACCAAGGCUUUGACGGGUAGCCGGCCUGAGAGGGUGACCGGCCAUUGGGGGACGGAUAUGGGCCCGAGACCCCUGGGGGGGGCAGGGGGGGGGAAUAUCGCACAGGGGGGGGGCGUGUGACGCAGCAGCCCGGUGGGGGGUGUGGGGGCUUGGGGUUUGAAAACCGUUUGCGCGUGAGGAAGCGUGGGGGAGGGGAUAAGGGGAAAAAAAGCCCCGGAAAACUGC